UAACCAGAUCAGACCAGCGGGUAGGUGA
Molecule: small RNA, 28 nt
Filed under: Bombyx mori (domestic silkworm)
Lineage: Eukaryota; Metazoa; Arthropoda; Insecta; Lepidoptera; Bombycidae
Description: ovarian small RNA-18706
Source: RNAcentral